This 842-nucleotide unclassified non-coding RNA is filed under the name Hevea brasiliensis (rubber tree). Lineage: Eukaryota; Viridiplantae; Streptophyta; Magnoliopsida; Malpighiales; Euphorbiaceae. The record is from RNAcentral.
GCGGGGUUUAAGCCCUCUCUCCAAUUCCAAAUUAGGGUUUUUCAGUUUGUUGAGCAAAAGAAGAGAGAUGGCUAUACCAAGGGUGGUUAGGAAUGGAGAAGAGGAAGCAGAAGAUGCUUUUUUCGAGCAGGAAUUUGAGUUCGAGGACACCAAUUCCGUCCCCCCUCACCUCCUCAACCUCUUUGACGCCGCCGAGAAUGGAAACCUUGUCGCCCUCCGUCAUGCCCUAGAUAAUUUGACUGGCAGCAUUGAUCAACCUCUUGAAGAUGGGGACACUGCUCUUCAUCUAACUUGUUUAUAUGGCCAUCUGUCUUGCGUGCAGCUAUUGUUAGAGAGGGGAGCUUCUUUGGAGGCUAAGGAUGAAGAUGGAGCAAUUCCAUUGCAUGAUGCUUGUGCUGGAGGAUACACAGAAAUAGCCCGUCUGCUAAUCAACAAUGCACCUGACCCUGAAUGCGUGAAAAGGAUGCUGGACACCUUUGAUGAAGAAGGUGAUGCGCCUCUCCAUCAUGCCGCCAGAGGUGAACAUUUAGAUGUGAUCAGAUUAUUGAUAGCUUCAGGGGCUUCUGCUUGUAGGAACAAUUUAUUAGGAAGGACCCCAUCUGAGCUUGUUGAGCCUGAAAGUGAAGCUUGCAUAAUCUUAGACGAAGCUAUAAGUGCUGAAAUCGGCCGUCCCUAUAGGUCUACGUAAAGAAAAUUUGGACGCUCGGCUAUUGUCGAUAUGUUUCCCCUUGUUCUGUAGGUACUAGUGUUAUAUUAGAAACUCGGAUAUUAUGCUUGAAUGUUAAAAUACUCUUUAUAUAGUGAGAUUGCACAUUGCAGUAUGAGAAAUACUCAUCUUUUUU